AGUGAACGCUGGCGGUAGGCCUAACACAUGCGGGUCGAACGGCAGCACAGUAAGAGCUUGCUCUUACGGGUGGCGAGUGGCGGACGGGUGAGGAAUACAUCGGAAUCUACUUUUUCGUGGGGGAUAACGUAGGGAAACUUACGCUAAUACCGCAUACGACCUACGGGUGAAAGCAGGGGAUCUUCGGACCUUGCGCGAUUGAAUGAGCCGAUGUCGGAUUAGCUAGUUGGCGGGGUAAAGGCCCACCAAGGCGACGAUCCGUAGCUGGUCUGAGAGGAUGAUCAGCCACACUGGAACUGAGACACGGUCCAGACUCCUACGGGAGGCAGCGGUGGGGAAUAUUGGACAAUGGGCGCAAGCCUGAUCCAGCCAUACCGCGUGGGUGAAGAAGGCCUUCGGGUUGUAAAGCCCUUUUGUUGGGAAAGAAAAGCAGCAGGUUAAUACCCCGCUGUUCUGACGGUACCCAAAGAAUAAGCACCGGCUAACUUCGUG
Molecule: ribosomal RNA, 492 nt
Filed under: uncultured bacterium
Lineage: Bacteria
Description: partial 16S ribosomal RNA
Rfam family: Bacterial small subunit ribosomal RNA
Source: RNAcentral